This 19-nucleotide small nuclear RNA is filed under the name Arabidopsis thaliana (thale cress). Its description in RNAcentral is "snRNA_12742". Lineage: Eukaryota; Viridiplantae; Streptophyta; Magnoliopsida; Brassicales; Brassicaceae. The record is from RNAcentral.
GAUCCUUUAGACCUUCGGA